GCGGUGCUAAGGGAAAACUCCAUUGGAAGCGCGGCUACCAUGCAAGUCGAACGAUGAAAGCCUUUCGUGGGUGGAUUAGUGGCGAACGGGUGGGUGACACGUGGGCAAUCUGCCCUUCGCUCUGGGGCAAGCCCUGGAAACGGGGUCUAAUACCGGAUAACACUCUGUCCCGCAUGGGACGGGGUAAAAAGCUCCGGCGGUGAAUGAUGAGCCCGCGGCCUAUCUUCUUGUUGGUGGGGUAAUGGGCUACCAAGGCGACAACAGGUAGCCGGCCUGAGAGGGCAACCGGCCACACUGGGACUGAGACACGGCCCACACUCCUACGGGAGGCGGCAGUGGGGAAUAUUGCACAAUGGGCGAAAGCCUGAUGCAGCGACGCCCCGUGAGGGAUGACGGCCUUCGGGUUGUAAACCUCUUUCAGCAUGGAAGAAGCGAAAGUGACGGUACCUGCAUAAGAAGCGCCGGCUAACUACGUGCCAACAACCGCGGUAAUACGUAGGGCGCAAGCGUUGUCCGGAAUUAUUGGGCGUAAAGAGCUCGUAGGCGGCUUGUCACGUCGGAUGUGAAAGCCCGGGGCUUAACCCCGGGUCUGCAUUCGAUACGGGCUAGCUAGAGUGUGGUAGGGGAGAUCGGAAUUCCUGGUGUAGCGGUGAAAUGCGCAGAUAUCAAGAGGAACACCGGUGGCAAAUGCGGAUCUCUGGGCCAUUACUGACGCUGAGGAGCGAAAGCGUGGGGAGCGAACAGGAUUAGAUACCCUGGUAGUCCACGCCGUAAACGUUGGGAACUAGGUGUUGGCGACAUUCUACGCUCGUCGGUGCCACAGCUAACGCAUUAAGUUCCCCGCCUGGGGAGUACAGGCCGACAGGCUGAAGACUCACAGGCAGUUGACGGGAGGACCUCCCACUAGACUGCAGGAGGCGUGUCGGCUUUAGUCCGACGCAACUGCGUGAGGAUCUUACCCAGGGCCUGCACAUAUACCUGGACAGGCAUCUGAGAUGGUGCGCACCUUGUGUCGAUAUACAGGGUGCGUGCAUGGACUGAUCGUCAACAUCGUGCUCAUGAGAUGUUGGGCUCAGUUGCCUCCACGAGGCUAGCCCUAGUUUCUGUGAUGCCAGCAUGCCCUUCACGGUUGAUUGCGACUCUCUGUGAGACUGCCAUGUCUCCGACUCUAGCUAGUGAGGACCAGUCAGCUGCAGCCAUAGUCUGAGCUCCACUACAGUGCUGCUCGACUGAGUGUA
This 1238-nucleotide ribosomal RNA is filed under the name Streptomyces sp. RNAcentral describes it as "bacterial SSU rRNA". It matches the Rfam family "Bacterial small subunit ribosomal RNA", at positions 17 to 1171 of the family's 1533-position model. Lineage: Bacteria; Bacillati; Actinomycetota; Actinomycetes; Kitasatosporales; Streptomycetaceae. The record is from RNAcentral.